ACGCGCGCGUUCGACAAGGAACCCGAAGUGUCUAUAGGUCGGAAGUUUCCAGGUGGCCAAAAAGACCCCUUUAAAAGUGGGAGGUUUUCCGAAGGGGAAGAGGGGUGUUGGUUGAUUAACCCCCACCUCCGAUAUACUCCGCUUUAUAUUGCGGGGAAGAAAACCGGAACAGCGAGCAAGGGAGGAGGAGGAGGUCCAGAGAGGACAAAGAGGAGAGACUCUGAUCUGCAAGUCUUGAGCUCAACUCCUCGCCUGAAACAGAAAAAUACAGAGACUUUGUCCUGGACCAAUUGAGAGGAUUUUGUCUCCCUGCACUCUGAAGCAGACGGUGGAGAAGACAGGCAAGAAUUCUGGGGGGCCACCUGUAAUUUCAAAAGGAAUAACGAAAGAAACCAUUUAAAUGUGUAGAGUGUGGAAUGUGCUCCAGUCAAUGAGCACAAUUCUUUCACAUUAAUUAACUGAACCAGAUAGCGUCAAUUGAAACCUUAAUAUACACCUACAGACUCACACAGGGGAGAAACCAUUUAAAGGUAUGGAGUGUGGAA
This is a long non-coding RNA of Lacerta agilis (Sand lizard), 545 nucleotides long. RefSeq lists it as uncharacterized. NCBI's taxonomy places the organism in Eukaryota, Metazoa, Chordata, Lepidosauria, Squamata, Lacertidae. The transcript is spliced from 3 exons. The record is from RefSeq and is a predicted model, not a curated record.